GAUGAACGCUAGCUACAGGCUUAACACAUGCAAGUCGAGGGGAAACGACAUCGAAAGCUUGCUUUUGAUGGGCGUCGACCGGCGCACGGGUGAGUAACGCGUAUCCAACCUGCCCACCACUUGGGGAUAACCUUGCGAAAGUAAGACUAAUACCCAAUGAUAUCUCUAGAAGACAUCUGAAAGAGAUUAAAGAUUUAUCGGUGAUGGAUGGGGAUGCGUCUGAUUAGCUUGUUGGCGGGGUAACGGCCCACCAAGGCAACGAUCAGUAGGGGUUCUGAGAGGCAGGUCCCCCACAUUGGAACUGCGGCACGGUCCAAACUCCUACGGGAGGCAGCAGUAAGGAAUAUUGGUCAAUGGACGAGAGUCUGAACCAGCCAAGUAGCGUGCAGGAAGCCGGCCAUAUGGGUUGUAAACUGCUUUUAUAAGGGAAUAAAGUGAGUCUCGUGAGACUUUUUGCAUGUACCUUAUGAAUAAGGACCGGCUAAUUCCGUG
RNAcentral lists this ribosomal RNA (492 nucleotides) under uncultured bacterium. RNAcentral's name for it is "partial 16S ribosomal RNA". It matches the Rfam family "Bacterial small subunit ribosomal RNA", at positions 28 to 507 of the family's 1533-position model. The record is from RNAcentral.